AGAGAGAGAGAGGGGGGGAGUGAGGGGUAGAGAGAGGGGCGGUAGACAGAAAGGGUAGGGACACAGAGAGCAGAAAGAGAGAGAGAGGGGGAGUGAGGGGUAGAGAGAGGGGCGGUAGACAGAAAGGGUAGGGACACAGAGAGCAGAAAGAGAGAGAGGGGGGAGUGAGGGGUAGAGAGAGGGGCGGUAGACAGAAAGGGUAGGGACACAGAGAGCAGAAAGAGAGAGAGGGGGGGGGAGUGAGGGGUAGAGAGAGGGGCGGUAGACAGAAAGGGUAGGGACACAGAGAGCAGAAAGAGAGAGAGGGGGGGGGGGGGGGUGAGGGGUAGAGAGAGGGGCGGUAGACAGAAAGGGUAGGGACACAGAGAGCAGAAAGAGAGAGAGGGGGUGAGGGGUAGAGAGGGGGCGGUAGACAGAAAGGGUAGGGACACAGAGAGCAGAAAGAGAGAGAGAGGGGGGGUGAGGGGUAGAGAGGGGGGCGGUAGACAGAAAGGGUAGGGACACAGAGAGCAGAAAGAGAGAGAGAAAGAUCCAG
Oncorhynchus tshawytscha (Chinook salmon) is the source of this 535-nucleotide long non-coding RNA. NCBI's taxonomy places the organism in Eukaryota, Metazoa, Chordata, Actinopteri, Salmoniformes, Salmonidae. The record is from Ensembl.